GAUCUCAUGAAGCAACUCCGUCAGUGAGUUAGUUGGCACUUUAUGAAAUUAUGCAUUGAAUAUUACUUCGCUGUUUUGGACGAGUUACGAUUGUCACGCAAAACUAUAAAAACACAUUUGAAGGAAGUUAUUCGUCGAGGUCAUUUUUAGCGCGUUCCCGGUAUAGCUUGUGAGAAUUCAGCACCGACUGCCAUGCAACAGCCUACGUAUUCUCCCAUUGAGGUGCACGGCGAUCCAGAGUGAGUGUCAAGGUGCGGAUCAGACUUCAUUGUUGCACCAUGCUGAGAGAGAAAGUAAGCCCGGGUCGGUUCCGAAGCCCCAGCAACAGUAAAUCCCUUGUUAAAGUCCACCGCCUCCUCUCGUCUCCAUCUCCCGCCGAGAGCAGCCGCAGAGUGACAAGUGCCACUUGUGGUGCAAGCGAUGUUAGUAUGUUUUUUUUUUUUUUUUUUGUCUGAUACUGAGAAAUGGACCGCGGGGUAUUGCGGAACCAUUCUGCAUGGCUAGGACAGUCAACGGUUCCUUUACCACGAACAUUUUAGUCGUGACCA
Molecule: long non-coding RNA, 548 nt
Organism: Hippocampus comes (tiger tail seahorse)
Lineage: Eukaryota; Metazoa; Chordata; Actinopteri; Syngnathiformes; Syngnathidae
Exons: 2
Source: RefSeq, a predicted model, not a curated record